CCAUGCAAAUAUAGAAUAUUUGGUUUUGGUCCUUGGUAUUUUGUUUUAAUCCUUGUAAAAUCAUUUCAUAUUGAAAUUGGUCCCUAUAAUAUUCAUUUUAGUCCUCGUUUUGAGGGACUAAAAUCAAAUAUUCUACAUAUUACAAAGACCAAAUCCAAUAUGAUUUAAAUUUUACAAGGACUAAAACAAAAUACUAAGGACCAAAACCAAAUUUUUUAUAUUUGCAGGGA
Molecule: microRNA precursor, 230 nt
Filed under: Medicago truncatula (barrel medic)
Lineage: Eukaryota; Viridiplantae; Streptophyta; Magnoliopsida; Fabales; Fabaceae
Description: MIR2630 microRNA precursor family
Rfam family: MIR2630 microRNA precursor family
Source: Rfam by way of RNAcentral